RNAcentral lists this ribosomal RNA (654 nucleotides) under uncultured Pseudomonadales bacterium. Its description in RNAcentral is "bacterial SSU rRNA". It matches the Rfam family "Bacterial small subunit ribosomal RNA", at positions 68 to 716 of the family's 1533-position model. Lineage: Bacteria; Pseudomonadati; Pseudomonadota; Gammaproteobacteria; Pseudomonadales. The record is from RNAcentral.
GGGGAAAAGUAGCUUGCUACUGGACCUAGCGGCGGACGGGUGAGUAAUGCUUAGGAAUCUGCCUAUUAGUGGGGGACAACAUCUCGAAAGGGAUGCUAAUACCGCAUACGUCCUACGGGAGAAAGCAGGGGACCUUCGGGCCUUGCGCUAAUAGAUGAGCCUAAGUCGGAUUAGCUAGUUGGUGGGGUAAAGGCCUACCAAGGCGACGAUCUGUAGCGGGUCUGAGAGGAUGAUCCGCCACACUGGGACUGAGACACGGCCCAGACUCCUACGGGAGGCAGCAGUGGGGAAUAUUGGACAAUGGGGGGAACCCUGAUCCAGCCAUGCCGCGUGUGUGAAGAAGGCCUUUUGGUUGUAAAGCACUUUAAGCGAGGAGGAGGCUACCGAGAUUAAUACUCUUGGAUAGUGGACGUUACUCGCAGAAUAAGCACCGGCUAACUCUGUGCCAGCAGCCGCGGUAAUACAGAGGGUGCAAGCGUUAAUCGGAUUUACUGGGCGUAAAGCGCGCGUAGGUGGCCAAUUAAGUCAAACGUGAAAUCCCCGAGCUUAACUUGGGAAUUGCAUUCGAUACUGGUUGGCUAGAGUAUGGGAGAGGAUGGUAGAAUUCCAGGUGUAGCGGUGAAAUGCGUAGAGAUCUGGAGGAAUACCGGUGGC